This 1478-nucleotide ribosomal RNA is filed under the name Flavobacteria bacterium MS024-2A. Its description in RNAcentral is "bacterial LSU rRNA". It matches the Rfam family "Bacterial large subunit ribosomal RNA", at positions 18 to 1518 of the family's 2925-position model. The record is from RNAcentral. Lineage: Bacteria; Pseudomonadati; Bacteroidota; Flavobacteriia.
CGUAUGGGGAAUGCCUAGGCUCUCAGAGGCGAUGAAGGACGUGAUAAGCUGCGAAAAGCUGCGGGGAUUGGCACAUACGAUGUGAUCCGCAGAUAUCCGAAUGGGGCAACCCACUAUAUUGAAGAUAUAGUAUCCUGCAAAGGAAGCAAACCCGGGGAACUGAAACAUCUAAGUACCCGGAGGAGAAGAAAACAAAAGUGAUUCCGUAAGUAGUGGCGAGCGAACGCGGAGUAGCCCAAACCAUAGUUGUUACGGCAAUUGUGGGGUAAUAGGACCACGCUAUUCGAUGCUUAAUAAAUUAGAAUCUACUGGAAAGUAGGACCAAAGAGGGUGAUAGUCCCGUAUAGGUAAGUUAAGUUAUUGAUAGUGGUAUCCUGAGUAGUGCGGGGCACGUGAAACCUUGCAUGAAUUCGCCGGGACCAUCCGGUAAGGCUAAAUACUCCUGAGAGACCGAUAGUGAACCAGUACCGUGAGGGAAAGGUGAAAAGAACCCUGAAUAAGGGAGUGAAAUAGAUCCUGAAACCAUACGCUUACAAGCGGUCGGAGCAGACUUGAUCUGUGACGGCGUGCCUUUUGCAUAAUGAGCCUACGAGUUACCGUUACUAGCAUGGUUAAUCGAUUCAGUCGAGGAUCCGAAGCGAAAGCGAGUCUGAAUAGGGCGAAUAAGUUAGUAGUGGUAGACGCGAAACCGAGUGAUCUACCCAUGAGCAGGUUGAAGCUUUGUUAACCCAAAGUGGAGGACCGAACCCGUUGACGUUGAAAAGUCUUGGGAUGACUUGUGGGUAGGGGUGAAAGGCCAAUCAAACUCGGAAAUAGCUCGUACUCCCCGAAAUGCAUUUAGGUGCAGCGUUGUAAAAGUUAUAUAGAGGUAGAGCUACUGAUUGGAUGCGGGGGCUUCACCGCCUACCAAUUCCUGACAAACUCCGAAUGCUAUAUAAUGAUUUACAGCAGUGAGGGCAUGGGUGCUAAGGUCCAUGUCCGAGAGGGAAAGAACCCGGACCAUCAGCUAAGGUCCCCAAGUGUAUACUAAGUUGAAUAAACGAGGUUUGACUGCCCAGACAGCUAGGAUGUUGGCUUGGAAGCAGCCAUUCAUUUAAAGAGUGCGUAACAGCUCACUAGUCGAGCGGUCAAGCAUGGAUAAUAAUCGGGCAUAAGUAUACCACCGAAGCUAUGGCUUCAUACGUAAGUAUGAGGGGUAGGGGAGCAUUCUAUGGGCGUUGAAGGUGAACUGCGAGGUUUGCUGGAGCGUAUAGAAAAGAAAAUGUAGGCAUAAGUAACGACAAUGCGGGCGAGAAACCCGCACACCGAAAGACUAAGGUUUCCUCAGCUAUGCUAAUCAGCUGAGGGUUAGUCGGGACCUAACGCGAACCCGAAAGGGGUAGUGGAUGGACAACCAGUUAAUAUUCUGGUACCUGCCGGCGCUAAACGUGACGGAGGGGAGUAGUUAUUGCGUACUGACGGAAUAGUACGUUGAAGCA